RNAcentral lists this non-coding RNA (29 nucleotides) under Cricetulus griseus (Chinese hamster). The record is from RNAcentral. Lineage: Eukaryota; Metazoa; Chordata; Mammalia; Rodentia; Cricetidae.
GAAAUGAAAAAGGCAGGACAGAAGAACAU